GAAUAGUUGGUAAUUUCCAUCCGAGCAACUCGAGGUAAGUUCGUAUAAUUAGAAUCAAACUUUUAAAUACUUGUAAUUAUUUAAAAUGAAUGUUUGUGACUGAGUAAAUGAUAUAUUCAAAAUUCGAAUGCCUUAUUGAUAUAGUUUGAUGGUUACCGAGCACCGUUUGAACCGUAGGAAUUCGUAGGAUACGAGUGACAUG
RNAcentral lists this long non-coding RNA (202 nucleotides) under Gossypium barbadense (sea-island cotton). RNAcentral describes it as "long non-coding RNA (GBAR_LNC012453)". Lineage: Eukaryota; Viridiplantae; Streptophyta; Magnoliopsida; Malvales; Malvaceae. The record is from RNAcentral.